Long non-coding RNA from Sapajus apella (tufted capuchin), 131 nucleotides. RefSeq lists it as uncharacterized. NCBI's taxonomy places the organism in Eukaryota, Metazoa, Chordata, Mammalia, Primates, Cebidae. The transcript has 2 exons. The record is from RefSeq and is a predicted model, not a curated record.
GCAUGAGAUAACGUGUUUUUAUUUUUACGAAAUGGUAAUAUAGCUAUGCAAGUGUUUUCAUUAAAAGAACACAAACUAAUAAAAGUUAUGGGAUAAAAAAUUAUGGGACAAAAAAUGUGGAAAAGUUGUGG